UGGGGUAUAGCCAAGCGGUAAGGCAAGGGACUUUGACUCCCUCAUGCGUUGGUUCNGAAUCCAGCUACCCCAG
This 73-nucleotide transfer RNA is filed under the name Enterococcus durans IPLA 655. Its description in RNAcentral is "tRNA-Gln". It matches the Rfam family "tRNA". Rfam says of the family: Transfer RNA (tRNA) molecules are approximately 80 nucleotides in length. Their secondary structure includes four short double-helical elements and three loops (D, anti-codon, and T loops). Lineage: Bacteria; Bacillati; Bacillota; Bacilli; Lactobacillales; Enterococcaceae. The record is from RNAcentral.